RNAcentral lists this ribosomal RNA (465 nucleotides) under uncultured bacterium. RNAcentral describes it as "partial 16S ribosomal RNA". It matches the Rfam family "Bacterial small subunit ribosomal RNA", at positions 28 to 507 of the family's 1533-position model. The record is from RNAcentral.
GAUGAACGCUGGCGGCGUGCUUAACACAUGCAAGUCGAACGGAAAGGCUCCUGCUUGCUGGGGUACUCGAGUGGCGAACGGGUGAGUAACACGUGGGUGAUCUGCCCUGCACUUCGGGAUAAGCCUGGGAAACUGGGUCUAAUACCGGAUAGGACGAUGGUUUGGAUGCUAGUGUGGAGAGUUUUUCGGUGUGGGAUGAGCUCGCGGCCUAUCAGCUUGUUGGUGGGGUAAUGGCCUACCAAGGCGUCGACGGGUAGCCGGCCUGAGAGGGUGUCCGGCCACAUUGGGACUGAGAUACGGCCCAGACUCCUACGGGAGGCAGCAGUGGGGAAUAUUGCACAAUGGGCGCAAGCCUGAUGCAGCGACGCCGCGUGGGGGAUGACGGCCUUCGGGUUGUAAACUCCUUUCGCUAGUGACGAAGCGCAAGUGACGGUACCUGGAGAAGAAGCACCGGCUAACUACGUG